Molecule: long non-coding RNA, 1077 nt
Filed under: Macaca mulatta (Rhesus monkey)
Lineage: Eukaryota; Metazoa; Chordata; Mammalia; Primates; Cercopithecidae
Description: lncRNA (ENSMMUG00000055391.1)
Source: RNAcentral
GGUGUUUCUAUGGGGCUGAUCCCGGGUCAGGGACUACAUUCCUCCCCGGCCUUGUGACCUCUCAUCUCCUUCAUCCAGUUGGGCCGAUUCUGCAGGCAAAGCCGGAGCCCGUGUCCGUGGACGUGGGGGAAGACGCCUCCUUCAGCUGUGCCUGGCGCGGGAACCCGCUUCCACGGGUAAUCUGGACCCGCCGCGGUGGCGCGCAGGUGCUGGGCUCUGGAGCCACAUUGCGCCUUCCGUCGGUGGGACCAGAGGACGCAGGCGACUAUGUGUGCAGGGCUGAGCCUGGGCUCUCUGGCCAGGGUGGCGGCGCCGCGGAGGCUCCGCUGACUGAACGCCUCAGCCUCUUUCUCCGGGCAAAAGAACCUGAUGCGAAUCCCCGGCAGCAGCGACGGCUGCAGUUCGCGAGGCCCUUAAGAAGAGGAGACAGGCAGCCGCGAGGACCGGGGCCCCAUUGUGCACACUGACCACAGUGAUCUGGUUCUGGAGGAGGAAGGGACUCUGGAGACCAAGGUGAGUGUUGGGAGGGGUGGGGCUCCCUUCACUGUUGGGAGAGGCGGGGCUCCCUUCACUGUGUUUCCAUCUCUCUCCCAUGCCUGUCUCCUCCUUUUUCCUUCUGUUGUCCUCAGAACUGGGACUCAGCUCCUCACCCCACUCCUCCUGCCCCCUGGACCAUCUCACCUAGCUCCCAGCCUCAGUUUGCCUACCUGCAGAGUCUGCCCACACAUCUGUCCCAGCCCCAGAUGGGGGUCACUAUGCCUGUGCUCUCCUCAUCACAGUCAAGCCCCCUUUCAGCCCCUUUAUACUGGCCCCAUAUCUCCCCAAACCUGUCCUUCCUCUGGGAUCCUACCUCAGGACAGCCACAUUGAUUCCAGGCCAUCCCCAGGCCACAGCACUUCUCUCUCUCCUCUGUACCUAGCACAUGCCAUUCUCUUUCUCUCUCUUCUUUUUUUUUUGAGACAGAGUCUCACUCUGUUGCCCCUGCUGGAGUGCAGUGGUGCAAUCUCGGCUCACUGCAACCUCUGCCUCCUGGGUUCAAGCCAUUCUCCUGCCUCAGGCUCCCGAAUAGCUGGCUAA